RNAcentral lists this ribosomal RNA (502 nucleotides) under uncultured bacterium. RNAcentral describes it as "bacterial SSU rRNA". It matches the Rfam family "Bacterial small subunit ribosomal RNA", at positions 28 to 521 of the family's 1533-position model. The record is from RNAcentral.
GACGAACGCUGGCGGCGUGGAUUAGGCAUGCAAGUCGAACGGUAUCAUCCUUUCGGGGGUGAGAGAGUGGCGAACUGGUGAGUAACACGUAGGUUAUCUACCCUCAAGACGGGGACAACCCAGGGAAACUUGGGCUAAUACCGGAUGUGAGCAACUUUUAGUUGUUUGAAAGGUGGCGUAAGCUGUCGCUUGGGGAUGAGCCUGCGUCCUAUUAGUUAGUUGGUGAGGUAACGGCUCACCUAGGCAAUGAUAGGUAGGCGGCCUUAACGGGUGGUCGCCUACACUGGGAUUGAGAUACGGCCCAGACUCCUACGGGAGGCAGCAGUCGAGAAUAGUCUACAAUGGUCGGAAGACUGAUAGUGCGACGCCGCGUGAACGAUGAAUCCCUUCGGGGUGUAAAGUUCUUUUAUAUGUGAGCAGUGCUUCUUAUAUUAACAGUAUGGGGAGAGAGAUAUUAGCAUAUGAAUAAGCAACGGCUAACUCCGUGCCAGCAGCCGACGGU